RNAcentral lists this ribosomal RNA (468 nucleotides) under uncultured bacterium. RNAcentral describes it as "partial 16S ribosomal RNA". It matches the Rfam family "Bacterial small subunit ribosomal RNA", at positions 28 to 507 of the family's 1533-position model. The record is from RNAcentral.
GAUGAACGCUGGCGGCGUGCUUAACACAUGCAAGUCGAACGGUGAAGGCGGAGCUUGCUCUGCUGGAUCAGUGGCGAACGGGUGAGUAACACGUGAGCAAUCUGCCCCUGACUCUGGGAUAAGCGCUGGAAACGGCGUCUAAUACUGGAUACGAGCUGCGAAGGCAUCUUCAGCAGCUGGAAAGAAUUUCGGUCAGGGAUGAGCUCGCGGCCUAUCAGCUUGUUGGUGAGGUAAUGGCUCACCAAGGCGUCGACGGGUAGCCGGCCUGAGGGGGUGACCGGCCACACUGGGACUGAGACACGGCCCAGACUCCUACGGGAGGCAGCAGUGGGGAAGAUUGCACAAUGGGCGAAAGCCUGAUGCAGCAACGCCGCGUGAGGGACGACGGCCUUCGGGUUGUAAACCUCUUUUAGCAGGGAAGAAGCGAAAGUGACGGUACCUGCAGAAAGAGCGCCGGCUAACUACGUG